This 643-nucleotide long non-coding RNA is filed under the name Mus pahari (shrew mouse). Its description in RNAcentral is "lncRNA (MGP_PahariEiJ_G0012257.1)". The record is from RNAcentral. Lineage: Eukaryota; Metazoa; Chordata; Mammalia; Rodentia; Muridae.
GGAGGCAAACACCGAGCUCCCCCUGAGCCGCUCGGGAACAGGGAGGGUUCUGCUACCCUGAGGGGCCCUCCCCGCGGGGCAGAGGGGUUUCCUCAGCAGUGCCCCCGAGCAGGGACCGCGCCAGCCAGCAGAAACAGCUAGUUGUUGUCUACAGUGAAGAAUAAUUGGAAGCAUGGUGCCUGCUUCUUUUCCUGUGGGGGGAAGUCACGACAUGUACUUCUGACUCUAUGCUUGCCUUGAGGAACAAUGGCAUGACACAGGGAUGUGGACGUUUUUCAACCAGAUGCUUCGGUACAGCAGUGUCGGCACACAAGGAGUGUUCCACUGACUGACCUCUUUUUGUUUUCAAAUGAAGAGGAGCCAAGAAUAGGACGGCUUGGGAAGGUGAGCUGCGUAUAACUCGUCAGGCUGAGCCCAUCCUCGCCUAUGGCCAAGGGUUUCUCGUUUCUAGAAGAUGAAAGAUGUGAUGACUUAGGAAAAAUGUGCUGUUCGAGAUGUGAGUCUUCAGAUGUUCCCGCCGCCAUAUCUGACAGCUGCUGCCAAGAUUCCCUGGUGCGAUGGACUCUUAUACCUCUACAACCAGAAGCCCAAGUAAACUCUUCUAUAAGUUGAAUGAAUCAUGCUUUAAAAAAAAAAACCUACU